GAUGAACGCUGGCGGCGUGCCUAAUACAUGCCAGUCGAGCGAACGGACGAGAAGCUUGCUUUUCUGAUGUUAGCGGCGGACGGGUGAGUAACACGUGGAUAACCUACCUAUAAGACUGGGAUAACUUCGGGAAACCGGAGCUAAUACCGGAUAAUAUUUUGAACCGCAUGGUUCAAAAGUGAAAGACGGUCUUGCUGUCACUUAUAGAUGGAUCCGCGCUGCAUUAGCUAGUUGGUAAGGUAACGGCUUACCAAGGCAACGAUGCAUAGCCGACCUGAGAGGGGGAUGGGAGAACAGGGAAGUGAGACACGGUACAGACGAAUACGGGAGGGAGCAGGAGGGAAUUAUCCGCAAUGGGCGCAAGACUGAAGGAGCAAAGGAGCGUGAGAGAUGAAGGGCUGAGGAUCGUAAAACUAUGUUAUUAGGAAAGAACAAAUGUGUAAGUAACUGUGAAGAGCCAGAAGGGACGUAAUCAGAAAGCAACGGAUAACUACAUG
Molecule: ribosomal RNA, 497 nt
Filed under: uncultured bacterium
Lineage: Bacteria
Description: partial 16S ribosomal RNA
Rfam family: Bacterial small subunit ribosomal RNA
Source: RNAcentral